Macaca mulatta (Rhesus monkey) is the source of this 917-nucleotide non-coding RNA. Lineage: Eukaryota; Metazoa; Chordata; Mammalia; Primates; Cercopithecidae. The record is from RefSeq and is a predicted model, not a curated record.
UGAGCUCUUGGGAGCCGUUUGGCAUGUUGCCUCUGUCUGGUGGAAACCUGUGCCAUGGGGUGCCGUGGGGGCUACUGCGCACCUCUUCUCAACUCUCCUUCAAGGACAUCGCAUUGAGAGGCUAAAUUUGGCUUUUGCGGGAGGAUUUUCACCAUGGAAAGCAUUAACUGCUACACGUUUGAGCUUCACCAUUUUAAAGAAGCCAUGAGAAAAAAUGGGAAUGAUGUAGAUUGUACUUCAAUGUAUGCCAAGCUUGUAGCUAUGACUUUUGUCUUGCUAAUGCAAAUGGAAAUACCAACCAACUGUCAUGGCAGAACUACAUUCGUUCCUCAAUUGCAACCGUACGUUGGCGGCAGUUACUGGAGUACAGUUAAUACCAAUGAAAACAUCUUGUGAGAAUCAAUUGACUAAUUGGAAUUGACUAUAAAAGUGUGAAGGAAAAAUCUGUGAAAAACGAUCAAUAACGAAAGGCAGAAUGAAAGAAUCAAAGUCAUAUCCUAUGAGGGAACAGCGUGAUCAUCCGCCUGGUGAAAGAAAGCAAGGAAAGGAUCUAAGGUUCAGAAGGAUGAUGAGAAUGGUGCAGUUGAUUCCGUCUGCCAGCAAAGUCAAUCAUCGCCAGAGCUCAGCACCCUCUCUCCCAGCAGCCCAUGGAGAAUGUCAGACUCUUUCCCUCAUUCUGCUUGUAUGCUGUAGGCACAUGACGCCAGGUUCAUUCUAAACCAAAUUCACUGAGAUUUUGUGCUAUCAAGAUGCCUUGGAGUGACGUGGUCAAUAAACCGAGAACCAGGAAGAGAUUUCUCCUCUCCGAAUCACCGUUCCGUCGCUUCCGUCCUUCCUCUGUGAUUCUUCCCACGGGAAUCCUUUUACACCUGCACGCCUGAGCAGUCAAGAGAACCAUGGCACAUUUCGACAUACGA